RNAcentral lists this ribosomal RNA (489 nucleotides) under uncultured bacterium. RNAcentral describes it as "partial 16S ribosomal RNA". It matches the Rfam family "Bacterial small subunit ribosomal RNA", at positions 30 to 507 of the family's 1533-position model. The record is from RNAcentral.
UUGAACGCUGGCGGCAGGCCUAACACAUGCAAGUCGAACGGUAACAGGAAACAGCUUGCUGUUUCGCUGACGAGUGGCGGACGGGUGAGUAAUGUCUGGGAAACUGCCUGAUGGAGGGGGAUAACUACUGGAAACGGCAGCUAAUACCGCAUAACGUCGCAAGACCAAAGAGGGGGACCUUCGGGCCUCUUGCCAUCGGAUGUGCCCAGAUGGGAUUAGCUAGUAGGUGGGGUAACGGCUCACCUAGGCGACGAUCCCUAGCUGGUCUGAGAGGAUGACCAGCCACACUGGAACUGAGACACGGUCCAGACUCCUACGGGAGGCAGCAGUGGGGAAUAUUGCACAAUGGGCGCAAGCCUGAUGCAGCCAUGCCGCGUGUAUGAAGAAGGCCUUCGGGUUGUAAAGUACUUUCAGCGGGGAUGAAGGGAGUAAAGUUAAUACCUUUGCUCAUUGACGUUACCCGCAGAAGAAGCACCGGCUAACUCCGUG